RNAcentral lists this small RNA (46 nucleotides) under Sinorhizobium meliloti 2011. Its description in RNAcentral is "putative ncRNA". The record is from RNAcentral. Lineage: Bacteria; Pseudomonadati; Pseudomonadota; Alphaproteobacteria; Hyphomicrobiales; Rhizobiaceae.
AUCAAUCCCCUCUUCCCGCAUGCGGGGAGAGGGUUAGUCCUCGGGU